Molecule: ribosomal RNA, 424 nt
Filed under: uncultured bacterium
Lineage: Bacteria
Description: bacterial SSU rRNA
Rfam family: Bacterial small subunit ribosomal RNA
Source: RNAcentral
GAAUCUUGCGCAAUGGGCGAAAGCCUGACGCAGCGACGCCGCGUGAGCGAUGAAGGCCUUCGGGUUGUAAAGCUCUGUGGGGAGGGAAGAAUAAGGUCCGCCUAAUACGUGGACCGAUGACGGUACCCCCUUAGCAAGCCCCGGCUAACCCUGUGCCAGCAGCCGCGGUAAGACAGAGGGUGCAAACGUUGUUCGGAAUUACUGGGCGUAAAGCGCGUGUAGGCGGCUUUGCAAGUCGGGCGUGAAAUCCCAUGGCUCAACCAUGGAAGUGCACUCGAAACUGCAGAGCUAGGGUCCUGGAGAGGAAGGUGGAAUGCUUGGUGUAGAGGUGAAAUUCGUAGAUAUCAAGCGGAACACCGGUGGCGAAGGCGGCCUUCUGGACAGUGACCGACGCUGAGACGCGAAAGCGUGGGGAGCAAACAGG